GGACUACCCGCUGAACUUAAGCAUAUCAAUAAGCGGAGGAAAAGAAACCAACAGGGAUUGCCUUAGUAGCGGCGAGUGAAGCGGCAAAAGCUCAAAUUUGAAAUCUGGCACUUUCAGUGUCCGAGUUGUAAUUUGAAGAAGGUAUCUUUGGGUCUGGCUCUUGUCUAUGUUUCUUGGAACAGAACGUCACAGAGGGUGAGAAUCCCGUGCGAUGAGAUGUCCCAGACCUAUGUAAAGUUCCUUCGAAGAGUCGAGUUGUUUGGGAAUGCAGCUCUAAGUGGGUGGUAAAUUCCAUCUAAAGCUAAAUAUUGGCGAGAGACCGAUAGCGAACAAGUACAGUGAUGGAAAGAUGAAAAGAACUUUGAAAAGAGAGUGAAAAAGUACGUGAAAUUGUUGAAAGGGAAGGGCUUGAGAUCAGACUUGGUAUUUUGUAUGUUACUCUCUCGGGGGUGGCCUCUACAGUUUACCGGGCCAGCAUCAGUUUGAGCGGUAGGAUAAGUGCAAAGAAAUGUGGCACUGCUUCGGUAGUGUGUUAUAGUCUUUGUCGAUACUGCCAGCUUAGACUGAGGACUG
This 573-nucleotide ribosomal RNA is filed under the name Lodderomyces parapsilosis. Its description in RNAcentral is "LSU rRNA". It matches the Rfam family "Eukaryotic large subunit ribosomal RNA", at positions 19 to 597 of the family's 3401-position model. Lineage: Eukaryota; Fungi; Ascomycota; Pichiomycetes; Serinales; Debaryomycetaceae. The record is from RNAcentral.